CUGAUUGAGGGUCCCUUGGGAGGCAUCUGAACCACACCAAAAAUGCAGAGCUGUGGUUGGAAUUUUUAUUGCUCUCAGUAAUUCAUCUCCAGGUGAGACUUGUCAGGGAUUAGCAAUGCAGCUGAUUUGGAGCCUGGAUUCUGUCGCUGCCUUUCCAGAGCCAACCACUUGAUGAACAAGUUUUCUGGCACAGCUGCAACUGGUGCUGAAAGCUUUCUGAUGAAUAAGUGUCCCCUGGAAGAGAAGGAAAGGUUGUAAACUCCAUGGCCUGGUUUGAGGCUCCUGUGAAAUACUGAGCUGUGUGAAACGGCGAGAAACAAAACAGGGCACCACGAAAUCAAACAGGAGCAGAGAAACAAAAGAGAAAUAGAGACAAAAACCCAAAGAGAGGGAGGUAUUUUGCUGCAUUGUAGCAGAUGAAAGUUGGGUGAAACCAGUGAUUUGUGCAAUCUGAGGGUGGCUGGUGAUCAAAGCAAGCAGCGAUUGAUCUGGUGCUGAGCUGCCUGAGGAAAAGGCUCCUCAGCCCUGGUGGAUGAAGGUCCUGUGGUUGUUUAGAGGAGAGGACGCAGAACUGGCUGUGAUUAAUCAGCUCCUUCCCUCUGGAAAAGCUGCAGUCAGCUCCUGGAGCUCAGGGAUGCACGGGAGACUCCAGCAGGAGCAGCAGGGGAUAGAGUGGCUGAGAAUACAGAAAUCAAAAGGAAGGAGCUGCUUUAAUUUUGAUAUAUCCAUGAAUGGUUUCAGUACCAACCUGUGUGGGAAGAUUUUCUGUGGAGGAAGAUAUCUUUGGUGCAGUGGUGGUGUUUUUUUGAAAGGUACAAUCAGCUGCUUUUGUUGCAGCAUCCCAACGUGUGCUUCCUCGUGUGAGUUAAAACCAGUGGCUGAUCCAACCUCUGCUGGAAGUCGGAAAUGGAGCUGCUGCUCACAGCUGCUGAGGGGGUUUUGAGAGGCAGCUUUGCUUUCCAGAUGUCUGGAGUCUUGUCCCUACAGCCAGCGUGGAAAAUAAGUUUUAUGGGCCUAAAGUUUACAGUUCAGCACCUUGUUUUGAUGUCACCUCUGAAUUCUGAGACUUCUGCAGAGAAAUUGGGGGUUUUCCACAUGGGAAGCUUUGGAAAUCUGUCUGUAUUUUUGGUCUAUUUGUGUUUGUACAGCCCCUGGUGCAAAGCAGCUGCCAACUGAAAGGGUUCCUGUGUCCAGGUAACAAUUGAAAGGCAACACUAUUCAAUCAUAAAAUACUAACUAAAAUAUUCCAGUCAUGCAAACAUUUCAAUUUGAAGAGAGUGAAUAUUCCCAUUUUCCUGCAGGAGGACUAAUUCAAAGCCUGAAGUUAAGAAAAACAAUUUUUUCCCCCACUAAAAGUCUAGACAGUAACAGAAUUAACUCCUAAAGAUAAAGAUCUGAAGAUCAGGAUCAAUGUUUAAUUUCAUUUCAGCUGGCUGCUGAUCAGGAAGAGGAAGCAUUACCCACCAUCAGCAGGGCUUUGUGUUUAAAUGAGAAGGCAUCAGGAGGAACAGAUUUACAGGAUGUUCCUUAGUGAUGCUGCAAGAGUCACUCAGAUGCUGCCUUUGACUUCUUGCCUCAUUUCCUUUUCCAGCAUGUGAUUUUUAAAGGAAAGCAAAGCAAUUUGCCCUUUUUGGAUCAUCAGCAAUGAAGCAGUGAAUUCUUUACCAGGAGUUAAAGCCAAGCUGCAGGAGUGCAGCUCGGAGUUGUAGCUGCUCACUGAUGCCUGGUAAAUUGGAUAAUGGUUUUCAGCUUCCUUUCAUUGUUACAGCUGUUGGCUUCAAUCUGGUUUGGUGGUUUGAUUAAAAUAACAUUAUUCCUCUAACUUGGCAAUUGCCUGGUGUUGGGUGACACAAAUGAACUUGGCUUUUUUUUCUGAGGAGAGUUGAGGAUCUGCUCAAGGGGAAAUCACCAACAGGCCCAGAAAACUGAUACAGCAGGGCAGCAAAAUCAAAUAUAGGACUUGAAAAUCUUUACACAGAAAAUCAGUGGAGAAGGAAAGCUGCAGUGCUUUGUGCUGUUUUUAACCCCUCACCCAACCUCACCCCUUUUCCAUAUUGAAGUCUCAUUCCACAGGAAGGGAGGACAAUUUGCCAUGGUGCCAUUCUCACCUGGAACCAGUUUAGCAAUGCCACAUCCCUAAACCUCCUGGAAUUAUUUGAGAAUGUUUAAAAAUGCUCCAAAGAGUGUGACAGCAAACUGAAGUAAACUCUCGUGUGUUAAUCUCUAAAAGAAACUAAAGAGCAAUUCAUAGAAGUGCAAAUAAAGAUGAAAAACUCUUCUCCA
RNAcentral lists this long non-coding RNA (2283 nucleotides) under Cyanistes caeruleus (blue tit). Its description in RNAcentral is "lncRNA (ENSCCEG00000006336.1)". The record is from RNAcentral. Lineage: Eukaryota; Metazoa; Chordata; Aves; Passeriformes; Paridae.